UGGGGAAUAUUGCGCAAUGGAGGAAACUCUGACGCAGCAACGCCGCGUGAAGGAUGAAGGUUUUCGGAUCGUAAACUUUCUUUGAUUGGGGACGAAAUAAGUGACGGUACCCAAAGAACAAGCCACGGCUAACUACGUGCCAGCAGCCGCGGUAAUACGUAGGUGGCGAGCGUUGUCCGGAAUUACUGGGUGUAAAGGGCGUGUAGGCGGGGAGACAAGUCAGAUGUGAAAUACCGUAGGCUUAACUACGGGGCUGCAUCUGAAACUGUAUCUCUUGAGUGUCGGAGAGGAAAGUGGAAUUCCCAGUGUAGCGGUGAAAUGCGUAGA
RNAcentral lists this ribosomal RNA (327 nucleotides) under uncultured Oscillospiraceae bacterium. Its description in RNAcentral is "bacterial SSU rRNA". It matches the Rfam family "Bacterial small subunit ribosomal RNA", at positions 355 to 694 of the family's 1533-position model. The record is from RNAcentral. Lineage: Bacteria; Bacillati; Bacillota; Clostridia; Eubacteriales; Oscillospiraceae.